GAUGAACGCUGGCGGCGUGCUUAACACAUGCAAGUCGAACGAUGAAGCCCAGCUUGCUGGGUGGAUUAGUGGCGAACGGGUGAGUAACACGUGAGUAACCUGCCCUUAACUCUGGGAUAAGCCUGGGAAACUGGGUCUAAUACCGGAUAGGAGCGUCCACCGCAUGGUGGGUGUUGGAAAGAUUUAUCGGUUUUGGAUGGACUCGCGGCCUAUCAGCUUGUUGGUGAGGUAAUGGCUCACCAAGGCGACGACGGGUAGCCGGCCUGAGAGGGUGACCGGCCACCCUGGGACUGAGACACGGCCCAGACUCCUACGGGAGGCAGCAGUGGGGAAUAUUGCACAAUGGGCGCAAGCCUGAUGCAGCGACGCCGCGUGAGGGAUGACGGCCUUCGGGUUGUAAACCUCUUUCAGUAGGGAAGAAGCGAAAGUGACGGUACCUGCAGAAGAAGCACCGGCUAACUACGUG
RNAcentral lists this ribosomal RNA (466 nucleotides) under uncultured bacterium. Its description in RNAcentral is "partial 16S ribosomal RNA". It matches the Rfam family "Bacterial small subunit ribosomal RNA", at positions 28 to 507 of the family's 1533-position model. The record is from RNAcentral.